Molecule: Y RNA, 101 nt
Filed under: Aotus nancymaae (Ma's night monkey)
Lineage: Eukaryota; Metazoa; Chordata; Mammalia; Primates; Aotidae
Description: Y RNA (ENSANAG00000012942.1)
Rfam family: Y RNA
About the family: Y RNAs are components of the Ro ribonucleoprotein particle (Ro RNP), in association with Ro60 and La proteins. The Y RNAs and Ro60 and La proteins are well conserved, but the function of the Ro RNP is not known.
Source: Rfam by way of RNAcentral
GGCUGGUCCAAGUGCAGUGGUGUUUACAACUCAUCAAUCACAACCAACUACAGAUUUUUCUGUUCCUUCUCUAUUACCACUGCUUCACUGACCAGUCUUUA